CCUACGGGUGGCUGCAGUCGAGAAUCAUUCACAAUGGGGGAAACCCUGACGCAGCAACGCCGCGUGAGUGAAGACGUAUCUCGGUAUGUAAAGCUCUAUCAGCGGGGAAGAAGGAAGACGGUACCCGACUAAGAAGCCCCGGCUAACUACGUGCCAGCAGCCGCGGUAAUACGUAGGGGGCGAGCGUUAUCCGGAUUUACUGGGUGUAACGGGAGCGUAGACGGCGUCGCAAGUCUGAAGUGAAAGCCCGGGGCUCAACCGCGGAACCGCUUUGGAAACUGCGAGGCUGGAGUGCUGGAGAGGUAAGCGGAAUUCCUGGUGUAGCGGUGAAAUGCGUAGAUAUCAGGAGGAACACCGGUGGCGAAGGCGGCUUACUGGACAGUGACUGACGUUGAGGCUCGAAAGCGUGGGGAGCGAACAGGAUUAGAUACCCCUGUAGUC
RNAcentral lists this ribosomal RNA (441 nucleotides) under uncultured bacterium. Its description in RNAcentral is "partial 16S ribosomal RNA". It matches the Rfam family "Bacterial small subunit ribosomal RNA", at positions 338 to 795 of the family's 1533-position model. The record is from RNAcentral.